GGACCUUACAAUUCUCUGUAUGUGUGGGGUACAGAGAUGAGGUAGUCAUUAAAAAAAUAUAUUAUUUCACACACAGUGAGUCCAUGCAACUUAUUUUUACAUGUUAAGCACAUUUUUACUUCUGAAUUUAUUUUGGCUUGCUGCCUAAACUAAGGGGUUGAAUACUUAUUGACUCAAGACAUUGCAGCUUUUGAUUUGUAAUUCAUUUGUAAACAUUUCUGAAAACAUAAUUCCACUUGGACAUUAUGAGAUGUUUUAUGUAGGCCGGUGAGCAUAUUUAAUCCAUUUUCUAAUUCCGGCUGUAACACAAGUGGAGAAAGUCCAGUGGUGCGAGUCCUUUCUGGAGGAGUUGAAUGUUUCGCCUCUAUUCAUGUUAAAGAGCACUAUGCUCCCACACCAGCCCUGAACCUAGUCUACACCCAUACCAGCGUAACAUCCCUAUAGCCCACGAGCCUUGGCACCCAGCCCUCACACCCCCCAUCUACCUACAACACUCGGGACACACAUCCCCGCACAGAGCGCCUGCUGC
This is a long non-coding RNA of Oncorhynchus gorbuscha (pink salmon), 529 nucleotides long. RefSeq lists it as uncharacterized. The transcript is spliced from 4 exons. NCBI's taxonomy places the organism in Eukaryota, Metazoa, Chordata, Actinopteri, Salmoniformes, Salmonidae. The record is from RefSeq and is a predicted model, not a curated record.